GGGAACAACAACAAAAAUGCCCUGCCUGGUGUUUUGGGAAAGCUGGUAAAAUAGUCUGAGAUGAUUUUUUUUCAAAGCAGGGUAAUGAUGACGAUGCAUAAUGCUACGGCUAGUAUUUAUGCUAUGGAGCACUCUUCAUCUCCAGGGCAGAUAAAAGGCCUUAGUAGAUUGAUCUUCAGAGCACCCCCUGUGAGCGAGUCUUUAACAGUGGCAAGGUACAAAAGUACCCUUGCAGACCUGCUUUUGGAAGCCCCUUCUUCAUUAUUUGGUUUACACGUGCAGUGAGUGUCAUGCAGCCGAGAUCUCUCGCUUUAGCACACCUGCACACAUAUUGACUGCAGAAAGAAUUAGGCCAUGCUCUCCCACCAGUUGCUGUGGCAAAACCCAGGCAUGGAUUUACCAGAGAGACCACAUGGAGUCUGUCCUUCCUCCUGGCAUCCCUGCAGUUCUAUGAGAGCACAUCUACCCAUGGCGGAGUGCACCAAGAGGUCCCCUUGGCACGUAACCCCUCUUCUUACCCUCAUUCUCCUCUCUCUUUUGCCCCAUCUCCUGCUCACACCCUUCUGGGAUGAAACAAGAAGCACUGACAAUAUUGAGAAUGUCAGCCUCCAUGCAUGUGGGAACUGUUAGCUCACAGACUGCAAGCCCUGAAGACACCACUGCCAUCAUCUAGUUUGCCCUGCUGCCUAGCACAAGGUGUAAGACUUUCAGCCAAUAAUUUCUCUGAUAAGCUCAACAGCCUGCAUUGAGC
Long non-coding RNA from Gallus gallus (chicken), 751 nucleotides. The record is from Ensembl. Lineage: Eukaryota; Metazoa; Chordata; Aves; Galliformes; Phasianidae.